Molecule: ribosomal RNA, 468 nt
Filed under: uncultured bacterium
Lineage: Bacteria
Description: partial 16S ribosomal RNA
Rfam family: Bacterial small subunit ribosomal RNA
Source: RNAcentral
GACGAACGCUGGCGGCGUGCUUAACACAUGCCAGUCGAACGGAAAGGCCCUGCUUUUGUGGGGUGCUCGAGUGGCGAACGGGUGAGUAACACGUGAGUAACCUGCCCUUGACUUUGGGAUAACCUCAGGAAACUGGGGCUAAUACCGGAUAGGAGCUCCUGCUGCAUGGUGGGGGUUGGAAAGUUUCGGCGGUUGGGGAUGGACUCGCGGCUUAUCAGCUUGUUGGUGGGGUAGUGGCUUACCAAGGCUUUGACGGGUAGCCGGCCUGAGAGGGUGACCGGACACAUGGGGAAUGAGAUACGGCCCAGACUCCUACGGGAGGCAGCAGUGGGGAAUAUUGAACAAUGGGCGGAAGCCUGAUGCAGCAACGCCGCGUGCGGGAUGACGGCCUUCGGGUUGUAAACCGCUUUCGCCUGUGACGAAGCGUGAGUGACGGUAAUGGGUAAAGAAGCACCGGCUAACUACGUG